This is a long non-coding RNA of Neofelis nebulosa (Clouded leopard), 2586 nucleotides long. RefSeq lists it as uncharacterized. The transcript is spliced from 3 exons. Lineage: Eukaryota; Metazoa; Chordata; Mammalia; Carnivora; Felidae. The record is from RefSeq and is a predicted model, not a curated record.
GUUUUAUUAGGGCCUAGGACCGGAAGUGCUCGGGCGUCUUGUGGCAAUACUGGGAAAUGUCGGCAGUCAAGCUUUCAGAAGACGGGGUUCGCUGAGGAGUAUUUAGGAACAUCUCACUUAUCUAGAAGAAAUCCCUUAUAUGGGAACAUCAACUACUUGGAAAUGUUCCAAUAAGGCAGAACACUCUUGAUAAGCAAGUAAGUCUCUGAGUAGCUAAAGCAGAUGUCAUUAUUUCAUACCUUUUAUUCACAACUGAGUCCUUUAAGUCCACAUCCAAAUUAUUCCCAAGGACAGAUUAACUGAACCUCAAGCUCAUAGACAAAAUAGGGGAAGCAGAAAAAAUGGGUGCCGUAUUAUUGUUUUUAGUGCCCCAGAAUCGCGAUAUAGAGAAAACUAAAGGUCUCAGCAGAGGUGAAGAAAACAGAAAUGGUUAUGAAGAAUUCAUCCUAGAGGCAUACAGAGUGCUCUCAAUAUUAGUAAAAAUAAAUCUUAACAGAUUAAAAAUUUACAUGUCUGACUUAAAUUAUUGUGAACUACAAUUAAGAAAGCUAACUUUUCAAAAAAAAAUAAAACUAACUUUUCACCUAUUAUUCUUAAUUUAUGAAAAAUUGACUGUAUUUUCAUUAACAGAUCAGGGCAUUUCUUUUCCUCAAUUCAAGAAAGGAUGUAAUAGCAAAAUAAUACAUGGGAAGAAGAAAGAAAAUGCUAUGAUCCUUAAAUGAAGUACAUUAAGGAGAAUUCUGAUCAAUGUGCAGGAUUUUAGAGUAUUAAUAAAAACAGACAAAAAGAUGAACUCUACAAAAGGGAAAAAUGGUCUUGAAAUCUGACAAAAAACAAAAUCCAUUCUUAAUAUGCACAAAUACACAGAAAAUCUAGGGCAGAUCUCCAAUUAUGGUUGGAAAAAACAUAUGCCAUUAAAAAUAACUUAUAAUAGUAUACAUAUAAAAAGAUAAAAUCUCUAUGUAAUGGAAUAUAAUCAUGUUCACUUAAAAUUCCUGCAUCUAUAGUACACCAAGAGUGAAUAUAAUGCCAGGGUCACAUAACUCUUUCAUAAAUUGUCAAAAAUCUGUAUUAAUGUUACUGAAUGUACAGUACACUCUUCUGUUCAACUGCCACAGAUACCCCCAAGCCUAGAAAAAUUCUUUAUUAGCCAUGUGCUUUAUCAAUCUAAAAAUAGGUACACAUAUAGUUCAAAAUUCAUCAAUCUGAAUUGGUUUUAUCUGUAAGCUAAAAAGCUAACCAUAAUACAUGUUUUUAAUGGAAAUAAAGAAUUUAGGAAAGAGGACUCCAAACAUACAUAUGUGUUUAAUAUAAGGCUAUUAAAAAGAUGCAAAACCUCUAAAGAGUUUAAAAUGUGAAAAGUGUAGAGCAUUUAAAAUUAUUCUUUUAUGCUUUCAUUUAAAAAAAAGUUUACACUGAUCCCUACAACAGAACUUUAGAACAAAACCUCAGAUUAUUUUUGAUCAUUAAGUAUAAGUUAUGACUAAGAAACUAUAUAUAAUAUUUAGUUUUUCAUUUUUUUAAAGUUUAUUUAUUAUUUUUGAGAGAGAGUGUGAGCAAGGGAAGGGCAGAGAGAGAGAGGAAGACACAGAAUGUGAAGCAUGCUCGUCUUCAAGCUGUCAACACAGAGCCCAACGUGGGAUUUGGACCCACAAACCGUGAGAUCAUGACCCGAGCUGAAGUCAGAUGCUCAACUGACUGAGCUACCCAGGCGCCCCUAAUUUUUAAUUUUUUAAAGUUUAUUUUGAGAGAGACAGAGUGUGAGUGGAGGAGGGGCAAAGAGAGAAGGAGAGCGAGAGUUGUCAGCACAGAGUCCAAUGCAGGGCUCAAACUCACAAAAUUGUGAGAUCAUGACUUGAGCUGAAACGAAGAGUCGGAUGAUUGAGCUGACCAGGCACCCCUUGAAACUAUAUAUAAUAUUAGCGGAAUCUUGCAAUAGGAUUUCUACAUACCACAUCAUCUUUGCUUUCAUUCUUAAAUGAAGUUUCUGUCUCCAUAGGAGCAUCACUGUGAUCCCCGUCUACAUUUUGCUUCUCAAUUACUGAUGCACUGGCCACACUGAAGAUUCCAUGGAUGUUAACACGAACUUUAACCUUCACUUUGGAACUAUCACCAUCAGACUGCGGAAAGACAUUCUGAAUAGUGAAGCUCCCUUCAGGAAAAAAGAGCUUUUAUCAGCACAUGGGCCUCUGAUUAACUUAUUCAAUUCAUUCAUUCAAUAAUUUGACUAUUAUCAUUUUGAUGCUGGCAAAUAAUCACAAAAUUAUCAUCACAUCCAGAUUAAUUACUGUGAGAAAGGCACUGAUCCUAGAUCACUUUUUUUUUUUUUACAGCUUAAUAAACUUAAUACUAAGUUUCAGAAAAGGUUAAGCAGCCUGCCCAAAAUCUUUAAUGCAAGGACAAAGACAGAUACACAUACAGGGAGAAUGUCAUGUGAACAUGAAGAUGGCCAGCCAUCCACAAACCAAGGAGAGAAGCCUGGAACAGAUCCUUCCCUCACAGCCCUCAGAAGGAACCCUGUCAACACUUUGAUUUCAUACUUGAAGCUUCUAGAACUGUAAACAAUAAAUUCUACUGUUUAAGCCA